Molecule: ribosomal RNA, 699 nt
Filed under: uncultured Pseudomonadota bacterium
Lineage: Bacteria; Pseudomonadati; Pseudomonadota
Description: bacterial SSU rRNA
Rfam family: Bacterial small subunit ribosomal RNA
Source: RNAcentral
GGGGGCAACUCCCUGAGUAAAGCGGCGCACGGGUGAGUAACGCGUAGGUGACCUACCCUUGAGUCCAGGAUAACCUACCGAAAGGUGGGCUAAUACCGGAUAUGACCACGGGGAUCUCGGUCCCUGAGGUGAAAGGUGGCCUCUGUUUACAUGCUACCGCUCAUCGAUGGGCCUGCGCGCCAUUAGCUAGUUGGUGGGGUAAUGGCCCACCAAGGCGAUGAUGGCUAGCUGGUCUGAGAGGAUGGCCAGCCACACUGGGACUGAAACACGGCCCAGACUCCUACGGGAGGCAGCAGUGGGGGAUAUUGCGCAAUGGGCGAAAGCCUGACGCAGCGACGCCGCGUGGGUGAUGAAGGCCUUCGGGUCGUAAAGCCCUGUCGAGGGGAAAGAAACGGUCUCGACCCAACACGUCGGGAUCCUGACGGUACCCCUAAAGGAAGCACCGGCUAACUCCGUGCCAGCAGCCGCGGUAAUACGGAGGGUGCGAGCGUUGUUCGGAAUCACUGGGCGUAAAGGGCGUGUAGGCGGUCCGCUAAGUCUGAUGUGAAAGCCCGGGGCUCACCCCCGGAAGGGCAUUGGAAACUGACGGACUCGAGUCCCGAAGAGGAGGGUGGAGUUCCUGGUGUAGCGGUGAAAUGCGUAGAUAUCAGGAGGAACACCGGUGGCGAAGGCGGCCCUCUGGACGGUGACUGACGCUGA